Long non-coding RNA from Bufo bufo (common toad), 435 nucleotides. RefSeq lists it as uncharacterized. The transcript has 2 exons. The record is from RefSeq and is a predicted model, not a curated record. Lineage: Eukaryota; Metazoa; Chordata; Amphibia; Anura; Bufonidae.
UCCAUCCCUGCACUGGGGCGUCUGCUAACAGAAUAGAGUGUCAGCUCCUGGACCAAGCACACAGCUCCAGACAACAAAUCACCCCAGGAGCCGCGACCACAGCCCCGUCACCUGCAGCAUGGCAUUGUGGGAGAUAUACUGUCAUCAGACAGUCACCUGUGAUAAGCGGUGCCCGGUGUCAUCAGACCGUCACCUCCUAUAAUAAGCGGCGCCCGGUGUCAUCAGACCGUCACCUCCCAUGAUAAGCGGCGCCCAGUGUCAUCAGACCGUCACCUCCUAUGAUAAGCGUCGCCCGGUGUCAUCAGACCGUCAUCUCCUGUGAUAAGCGGCGCCCGGUGUCAUCAGACCGUCACCUCCAGUAAUAAGCGGCGCCCGGUGUCAUCAGACCAUCACCUCCUAUAAUAAGCGGCACAAGGUGUCAUCAGACCGUCACCU